This 446-nucleotide ribosomal RNA is filed under the name uncultured bacterium. RNAcentral describes it as "bacterial SSU rRNA". It matches the Rfam family "Bacterial small subunit ribosomal RNA", at positions 329 to 792 of the family's 1533-position model. The record is from RNAcentral.
UGCCAGACUCCUACGGGAGGCAGCAGUAGGGAAUUUUGCGCAAUGGGGGAAACCCUGACGCAGCAACGCCGCGUGAUUGAUGAAGCCCUUCGGGGUGUAAAGAUCUGUCAGUGGGGACGAAACUUGACGGUACCCACAGAGGAAGCAUCGGCUAACUCCGUGCCAGCAGCCGCGGUAAUACGGAGGAUGCGAGCGUUAUCCGGAUUUAUUGGGUUUAAAGGGUGCGUAGGCGGAAGGUUAAGUCAGCGGUCAAAUGUCGGUGCUCAACACCGGCCUGCCGUUGAAACUGGUCUUCUUGAGUGAGCGAGAAGUAUGCGGAAUGCGUGGUGUAGCGGUGAAAUGCAUAGAUAUCACGCAGAACUCCGAUUGCGAAGGCAGCAUACCGGCGCUCAACUGACGCUGAGGCACGAAAGCGUGGGGAUCGAACAGGAUUAGAUACCCUAGUA